UGGCUGUUGAUGCAAUUGCUUUUGGUGU
RNAcentral lists this non-coding RNA (28 nucleotides) under Homo sapiens (human). Lineage: Eukaryota; Metazoa; Chordata; Mammalia; Primates; Hominidae. The record is from RNAcentral.